This 129-nucleotide microRNA precursor is filed under the name Podarcis lilfordi (Lilford's wall lizard). Lineage: Eukaryota; Metazoa; Chordata; Lepidosauria; Squamata; Lacertidae. The record is from RNAcentral.
UGUGGAGAAGGGCAUUUCCUGAGGAUUAGUGGCCAGCUGGGAAGAAGAUGAUGUCCUGAGGUGCAGCUGUGGGUUGUAAACCCCCAGCUGGCCAUUAAUCCAGAGGAAGUAUACUGGGCUGGGUUUACU